AGUGAACGCUGGCGGCAGGCCUAAUACAUGCAAGUCGAACGGCAGCACGGCAGAGCUUGCUCUGUGGGUGGCGAGUGGCGGACGGGUGAGGAAUACAUGGGAAUCUGCCCAGUCGUGGGGGAUAACGUAGGGAAACUUACGCUAAUACCGCAUGCGCCCUUCGGGGGAAAGCCGGGGACCUUCGGGCCUGGCGCGAUUGGAUGAGCCCAUGUCGGAUUAGCUAGUUGGCGGGGUAAUGGCCCACCAAGGCGACGAUCCGUAGCUGGUCUGAGAGGAUGAUCAGCCACACUGGAACUGAGACACGGUCCAGACUCCUACGGGAGGCAGCAGUAGGGAAUAUUGGACAAUGGGCGCAAGCCUGAUCCAGCCAUGCCGCGUGAGUGAAGAAGGCCCUCGGGUUGUAAAGCUCUUUUGUCCGGAACGAAACGGCGAGCUCUAAUACAGUUUGCUAAUGACGGUACCGUAAGAAUAAGCACCGGCUAACUACGUG
Molecule: ribosomal RNA, 490 nt
Filed under: uncultured bacterium
Lineage: Bacteria
Description: bacterial SSU rRNA
Rfam family: Bacterial small subunit ribosomal RNA
Source: RNAcentral